GAAAGAAAAGUAGUAAAGAAGCCUUUAUUUGUUGCAUAUACAUUACAGCACAUGAAAUUCUUUUUCACAUAUCCAAGCUUGUUAGGAAGCUGGGGUCAGAGUGCAGGGUCAGCCAUGAUACGGCACCCCUGGAGCAGAUAAGAUUAAGGGCCUUGCUCAAGGGACCAAUAGUGGCCGCUUGGUGGUGCUGGGGCUUGAACCUCCAACCUUCUGAUCAAUAACCCAGAGUGCCUUAACCAUUGAGCUAUUAUGAUUAUUUUAAUAAUUGAUUAGUCUUAAAACCCUACAUGUACAAACAAUUGUUAAGGUUUAUUUUUUUCCUAUAUAAAUGCUGCAUAUAAGUGUGAACUGCAUACAAAUAUACAGUGGAUAUAAAAAGUCUACACACCCAUGUUAAAAUGGCAAGUUUUUGUGAUGGAAAAAAAAAAUAAGACAAAACAUGUCAAUAAUUUCCACCUUCAAUAUGAAAUUACAAUGUAUAAAAAUUAGGUGAAAAACAAUCAGAAACAUUUAUAGGGAAAAAUAAAUAUAUUACAAUAAUCUGGUUGCACAAGUGUGCACGCCCCUAAACUAAUACUUUGUUGAAGCACCUUUUAAUUUUAAUACACCACUCAGUCUUUUUGGGUAAGAGUCUAUCAUUGUGGUACAUCUAGACUUAGCAAUAUCUUCCCACUCUUUCUUGCAAAAUCAUUCUAGAUCAAUAAAAUUGUCAGGGCAUCUUCUGUGCACAGCCCGCUUAGAGUCACCUCACAGAUUUUUUGUUGAAUUCAGGUCUGGGCUCUAGCUAGGCCAGUCAAAAACUUUUAUCUUCUUUUGGUUAAACCAGUUUUUUUUGUUGAUUUGGAUGUGUGCUUUAGGUCAUUGUUGUGCUGAAAGGCGAAAUUCCUUUUCACCUUCAGCUUACGAGCAGACACCUGAAGGUUUUGCACUAAAAUCAACCGGUAUUUGUAGCUAUUCAUGAUUCCCUCCACCUUGAUUAAAGCCAAAAUUCAUGCUGAAGAAAAUCAGCCCUAAAGCAUGAUGCUGCCACCACAAUGUUUCACCAUGGGUAUGGUGUACUUUAGUGAUGUGUGAUACAUACCAUGAAACAUGUAUGUAUACAUUUAAAAUAAGUAUAAAAACCCAUGUGAAAAUUUACCACAGCAUAUCUUAACUAAAAUUAAACCAAAACACCUAGCUACAGUAAGGUCAGUGUGUAUUGAAGAAUGUUUACAUAGCUAUCCUAUAAAAUAAGGAUAUGACAGUCCAUAUGACACAAAGCUCUAGUAUGGCCACUUGGAGUAUAGUUUUUAUAGUGAACCUUUAAAGCUCAUGAUCACCAUCUUCUGACAUUUUUGGAAUAGAGCUGUAAUAGAGGGGAAAAUAUUCUCUUUUAUGUUAUGAAAAGUAACAGUAUUUGGGUUUGGAAUGACAUAAGUGUCAUGAUUCCCCCUUGAAGCAGCGUGCUCUAAACGCGAAUGCGCAAGCACCUGCUUUUCCGUUGUUGACUGUAGUGACAUCUGGACACGUGUGUUUUGUUUAUGUUUCUGUCAUGUCUCCUCCCUGUUCCGUCAUUGGCUGGGAUUUCACGUGGGUCUGUAUUGCUCUCAGCUGCUAGCGGUUUAGACGCUGAUCAUGUCCGCAUAUAUACCGCGAUUAAUGUCAUAGAGUUAGUUUAGUUCGUAUCGUAGUCAUAGUCACGGUCCAUGUUUAGAAUUAGUUUAGUUCGUAUAGUAGUCACAGUCACGUUCCAUUUUUAAAGUUAGUUCGCGCUGGAUUAUCCGCUUCCAGUUCCUCAUCAUAGUUCGUUUCUUGUUUUGUUAAUUGACCCUGUUUUCCGUGACCACAACCUAGAUUCCAGCCUUGCCCCGUGUAUGCCUGUUUGCCAAUCGCCUGACCUCUUGCAUGUUUGUGGAUUACGUUUAGGAUCACGUUUUGGAUUUGUCUGCCUGUCUCUCUUUCAGAUAAACAACUGUCCAUCCUGCACUUGCAUCCGUCCUAUUUCUGCUCCGUCACGAUUCGUGACGAUAAGGGGUUGGUGUGGAUAUGGAGCCCAUCCACGCACAGUAGGCACGAGGCAGGAAUACACCAUGGAAGAGAUGGCAGACCAUCACAGGGCACCAGCAUUCCACUCAGCUUUAUAAUUAUCAGAUGGAUGAGUUAUGGUAGAGCAUGGAAAUCCACUGCAGUAAUUUCUUUUAUGGUGCCUUGCAUAAGUAAAUAAUUUUUAAUUAAUUUUGCAACAUAGUUGGCAAAGAGUCAAGGGAGCAUAAUUGGCCCUUAUUCGUGGGUGGAAGUGGGGGUACACAUCUCCUCACUGUUGACCAGAGUGACACCUGCCAUUUGUGCCAAAUUGGGCAGGUUGUGUUCAUCCAGAAGUGUAUGAGCUGCAGUUUGAAAAGACAGGGAAGCUAGCUUCACACAUCUCAGAAAAAGCAAGUGUUAGACCUCACUCUAGUAGCUGCUCUGAGAUUGGGUGAACUAGCUAAUAGAAGGGAACUAUUAGAUGGGUUAGGAUUUUAAUUAUAUUCAGUAACCAUACAUGAAGCUUACCUUGAAAUUUGGUGUCCAGCAAAAAGCAGUAGAGCAGUGAGGACGUACAGGUAUAGCUGAACAAGACGCUGACGAGGCAGUGUCAGCAAAACCAGACUCAGAAUAUAGCCUGAGAGAGAGCUAUGUUAGAAAACUGUGUAAGCAUACAAUCCCUAUAUAUAUAUAUACAAGCUCACACAGGAACUUUCUUCCAGUGGGGAGGUAGCAUAGAAACACUGGUUGGGAAGGGCAACCUAUUCAAAAUGACUGUGGAAGCAGAGAAGCAUAUUACAGAGAUCAUGAGAGAAGAAAGGUCAUAAGCAGACCAGGGAAUGGAAACUGAAAGAGUAAGAAUCAAAUGCAGACGAACAAGGACCAGUCCCAAUGCAUUGGAUACCUACAUCUAAACAAGCCCCCCAUUAUUCAAAUGUUGACAUGGCAAACAGGCAACUGAUAGCAUAAUAUUAUUCAUAGAUAUUAAUCUGUCACUCUGAUAGUUACACAACUAGUAUUCAUGCAUGUUUGAUGGCACACAGAAAAUAGUUUAAUGCAGACAUAUUAAAAUUUUUCCUGAGUCCCAUUUCCCAGUUUUUGAUUUUUUUUUUUUUUUAAGAUACUAAGAAAGAAAAAAAGUAAAACGUCCUUCAAUUCUAAUUUUUUUUUUUUUUAUUAAUCAGAGUCUAAGUAGCAAUUGUGUGGUCCUUUCAAUCUGUAAUUUUUUUUUUUUUUUUUUU
Long non-coding RNA from Ictalurus punctatus (channel catfish), 3245 nucleotides. RefSeq lists it as uncharacterized. Lineage: Eukaryota; Metazoa; Chordata; Actinopteri; Siluriformes; Ictaluridae. The record is from RefSeq and is a predicted model, not a curated record. The transcript has 2 exons.